This 1113-nucleotide ribosomal RNA is filed under the name Triticum aestivum (bread wheat). RNAcentral's name for it is "partial small subunit ribosomal RNA". The record is from RNAcentral. Lineage: Eukaryota; Viridiplantae; Streptophyta; Magnoliopsida; Poales; Poaceae.
AUGUACGCGGAAACGGAGCCCGGGGCCGCCGCGGAGCGCACGGCGUUCCGGCGGGCCGAGAAGCAGUACAAGCUCUACAAGCCGCCCAGUCGCAAGGGCAGGUCGAAAUCCAGGGGCAAGCAAGCCGGUGGUGGUGGAUUUGGCGGCGGCGGCGGCGGCGGGGACCUGUCCGCGGUGGUCGACUUCCACGCGCUGCUUGCUGCCGGAAAAGGCGAGCUGCCCGCCGGGAUCCGGAGGUGCGACCGCGCCGGCUUCCACCUGCCCGUGUUCUGCUUCCUCGACCGGCCGGGAUUCUAUUUCAUCCCUGGUGCUCUAUCUACCGAGGAACAGUGCUAUUGGAUCAGGGAAAGCUUGAAAACAUUCCCACAGCCUCCUAAUAGAACCAACUUGACUGCUACAUACGGUCCAAUUUCUGACUUGCUCAUUGCUGCUAAAAACCAGAAGAUUUUGGUUGAAGUGGAAAGUUCCAGUGGCAAACCAAGAGAUGAGCAGAAUAAUGUUGGGGAAAAUGCACAUCCGGGUAAAUUCAAAUUUGUGGAUGACUCAGAGAUCCAAAAGGAGGAAAGACCUAAGUCGACCAUGGCAGCUGCUCUUGUGCGCAAGCUCCGGUGGAGCACCCUUGGCUUGCAAUUUGAUUGGUCAAAACGUAACUAUGAUGUAUCGCUUCCACAUAACAAGAUUCCAGAUGACCUUGCUACUCUAGCAAAAAAGAUGGCCGUUCCAGCAAUGCCUUCUGGAGAAGAAUUCACCGCAGAAGCAGCCAUCGUGAACUAUUAUGGUCCAAGCGACAUGCUUGGUGGCCAUGUUGAUGACAUGGAAGCAGAUUGGACAAAACCUAUUGUGAGCAUAAGUUUGGGUUGCAAGUGUAUUUUUCUGCUUGGAGGGAAGACAAGGGAUGAAGCUCCAACGCCAAUGUUCCUGCGAAGUGGUGAUAUUGUACUGAUGGCUGGGGAAGCACGAGAGCGCUUCCAUGGUGUCCCACGGAUCUUCACAGAGGGUGACCAGCAAGAUAUCUCUGGGCUGGUAUCAGAACUAUCUGAUGAUGAUGACCGCUUUAUAUUGGACUACAUUCAUAAUUCAAGGAUAAAUAUCAACAUAAGACAAGUAUACUGA